Molecule: ribosomal RNA, 466 nt
Filed under: uncultured bacterium
Lineage: Bacteria
Description: partial 16S ribosomal RNA
Rfam family: Bacterial small subunit ribosomal RNA
Source: RNAcentral
GACGAACGCUGGCGGCGUGCUUAACACAUGCAAGUCGAACGGAAAGGCCCUGCUUGCAGGGUACUCGAGUGGCGAACGGGUGAGUAACACGUGGGUGAUCUGCCCUGCACUUCGGGAUAAGCUUGGGAAACUGGGUCUAAUACCGGAUAGGACCGCACUUUAGUGUGUGUGGUGGAAAGUUUUUUCGGUGUAGGAUGAGCUCGCGGCCUAUCAGCUUGUUGGCGGGGUAAUGGCCUACCAAGGCGGCGACGGGUAGCCGGCCUGAGAGGGUGUACGGCCACAUUGGGACUGAGAUACGGCCCAGACUCCUACGGGAGGCAGCAGUGGGGAAUAUUGCACAAUGGGCGCAAGCCUGAUGCAGCGACGCCGCGUGGGGGAUGAAGGCCUUCGGGUUGUAAACUCCUUUCGCUAGGGACGAAGCUUUGUUGUGACGGUACCUAGAUAAGAAGCACCGGCUAACUACGUG